RNAcentral lists this ribosomal RNA (305 nucleotides) under uncultured bacterium. Its description in RNAcentral is "partial 16S ribosomal RNA". It matches the Rfam family "Bacterial small subunit ribosomal RNA", at positions 505 to 807 of the family's 1533-position model. The record is from RNAcentral.
ACAGCAGCAGCCGCGGUAAUACGUAGGGUGCGAGCGUUAAUCGGAAUUACUGGGCGUAAAGCGUGCGCAGGCGGUUGUGUAAGACAGGUGUGAAAUCCCCGGGCUUAACCUGGGAACUGCGCUUGUGACUGCACAGCUAGAGUAUGGCAGAGGGGGGUGGAAUUCCACGUGUAGCAGUGAAAUGCGUAGAGAUGUGGAGGAACACCGAUGGCGAAGGCAGCCCCCUGGGCCAAUACUGACGCUCAUGCACGAAAGCGUGGGGAGCAAACAGGAUUAGAUACCCGCGUAGUCCCUGUCUCUUAUAC